CGUUGCACUAUCGUUAACUGAAUACAUAGGUUAACGAGGCGAACCGGGGGAACUGAAACAUCUAAGUACCCCGAGGAAAAGAAAUCAACCGAGAUUCCCCCAGUAGCGGCGAGCGAACGGGGAGCAGCCCGGAGUCUGAAUCAGCUUGUGUGUUAGUGGAACGGUCUGGAAAGUCCGACGGUACAGGGUGAUAGUCCCGUACACGAAAGCACACAUGCUGUGAACUCGAAGAGUAGGGCGGGACACGUGGUAUCCUGUCUGAAUAUGGGGGGACCAUCCUCCAAGGCUAAAUACUCCUGACUGACCGAUAGUGAACCAGUACCGUGAGGGAAAGGCGAAAAGAACCCCGGCGAGGGGAGUGAAAAAGAACCUGAAACCGUGUACGUACAAGCAGUGGGAGCCUCUUUAUGGGGUGACUGCGUACCUUUUGUAUAAUGGGUCAGCGACUUAUAUUCUGUAGCAAGGUUAACCGUAUAGGGGAGCCGAAGGGAAACCGAGUCUUAACUGGGCGUUAAGUUGCAGGGUAUAGACCCGAAACCCGGUGAUCUAGCCAUGGGCAGGUUGAAGGUUGGGUAACACUAACUGGAGGACCGAACCGACUAAUGUUGAAAAAUUAGCGGAUGACCUGUGGCUGGGGGUGAAAGGCCAAUCAAACCGGGAGAUAGCUGGUUCUCCCCGAAAGCUAUUUAGGUAGCGCCUCGUGAACUCAUCUUCGGGGGUAGAGCACUGUUUCGGCUAGGGGGCCAUCCCGGCUUACCAACCCGAUGCAAACUACGAAUACCGAAGAAUGUUAUCACGGGAGACACACGGCGGGUGCUAACGUCCGUCGUGAAGAGGGAAACAACCCAGACCGCCAGCUAAGGUCCCAAAGUCAUGGUUAAGUGGGAAACGAUGUGGGAAGGCACAGACAGCCAGGAUGUUGGCUUAGAAGCAGCCAUCAUUUAAAGAAAGCGUAAUAGCUCACUGGUCGAGUCGGCCUGCGCGGAAGAUGUAACGGGGCUAAACCAUGCACCGAAGCUGCGGCAGCGAC
RNAcentral lists this ribosomal RNA (1030 nucleotides) under Enterobacter hormaechei. RNAcentral describes it as "partial 23S ribosomal RNA". It matches the Rfam family "Bacterial large subunit ribosomal RNA", at positions 141 to 1212 of the family's 2925-position model. The record is from RNAcentral. RNAcentral also lists the same sequence under 2 other names. Lineage: Bacteria; Pseudomonadati; Pseudomonadota; Gammaproteobacteria; Enterobacterales; Enterobacteriaceae.